Molecule: small RNA, 312 nt
Filed under: Pan troglodytes (chimpanzee)
Lineage: Eukaryota; Metazoa; Chordata; Mammalia; Primates; Hominidae
Description: processed transcript
Source: RNAcentral
CUUCAUGGACGGUGCGAUUCUGAAAGCAACGUUUGCUCAUCUGAGGAUUCAGAAGCUGAUCGAUACUCCGAUUAUGGCUGGGGAGGACCCUCAUCGCCAUUUAACUGAGUUGGAAAAUGAAGCCACAAUGCUGGAGGCGUGGAGUUUGCUUAAUAAACAACUUUGAGCAACCAGCUCGGGUCAGACGUCAUUGACAGGACCUCCUCUUGGCUUCACCAAGUCGCUCUUGCUGCCUGCCCAGGGCUUCUUUGCCACCUCAAUAUUUAGUGUAUUCUUUCAUUAUGUUAAAACUAAAUAAAAUGUUUCAUUAUA